GAUGAACGCUGGCGGCGUGCUCAAUACAUGCAAGUCGAGCGAACAGACGAGGAGCUUGCUCCUCUGACGUUAGCGGCGGACGGGUGAGUAACACGUGGAUAACCUACCUAUAAGACUGGGAUAACUUCGGGAAACCGGAGCUAAUACCGGAUAAUAUAUUGAACCGCAUGGUUCAAUAGUGAAAGACGGUUUUGCUGUCACUUAUAGAUGGAUCCGCGCCGCAUUAGCUAGUUGGUAAGGUAACGGCUUACCAAGGCGACGAUGCGUAGCCGACCUGAGAGGGUGAGCGGCCACCCUGGAACUGAGACACGGCCCAGACGCCUACGGGAGGCAGCAGUAGGGAAUCUGCCGCAAUGGGCGAAAGCCUGACGGAGCAGCGCCGCGUGAGUGAUGAAGGUCUUCGGAUCGUAAAACUCUGUUAUUAGGGAAGAACAAAUGUGUAAGUAACUAUGCACGUCUUGACGGUACCUAAUCAGAAAGCCACGGCUAACUACGUG
This 497-nucleotide ribosomal RNA is filed under the name uncultured bacterium. Its description in RNAcentral is "partial 16S ribosomal RNA". It matches the Rfam family "Bacterial small subunit ribosomal RNA", at positions 28 to 507 of the family's 1533-position model. The record is from RNAcentral.